Molecule: ribosomal RNA, 274 nt
Filed under: uncultured bacterium
Lineage: Bacteria
Description: partial 16S ribosomal RNA
Rfam family: Bacterial small subunit ribosomal RNA
Source: RNAcentral
AGACGAACCGUACGAACGUUAUUCGGAAUUACUGGGCUUAAAGGGUGCGUAGGCUGCACGGAAAGUUGAGUGUGAAAGCCCUCAGCUCAACUGAGGAAUUGCAUCCAAAACUGCCGUGCUUGAGGGAGACAGAGGUGAGCGGAACUCAAGGUGGAGCGGUGAAAUGCGUUGAUAUCUUGAGGAACACUGGUGGCGAAAGCGGCUCACUGGGUCUCUUCUGACGCUGAGGCACGAAAGCUAAGGUAGCAAACGGGAUUAGAAACCCCGGUAGUCC